Molecule: long non-coding RNA, 130 nt
Organism: Sapajus apella (tufted capuchin)
Lineage: Eukaryota; Metazoa; Chordata; Mammalia; Primates; Cebidae
Exons: 3
Source: RefSeq, a predicted model, not a curated record
CUUCAUUUCAUGAUGAGUUAAAGAAAAAAAGUUGGUGACUUUUAUUUGUUCAGGUAUAGUCAGGAGUAGUUAAGAAAACAGGUUCUAGGGGGCUGGGUGUGGUGGCUCACGCCUGUAAUCCCAGCACUUU